GUCCUAGCCGUAAACGGUGGGCACUAGGUGUAGGAGGCAUCGACCCCUCCUGUGCCGCAGCUAACGCAUUAAGUGCCCCGCCUGGGGAGUACGACCGCAAGGUUGAAACUCAAAGGAAUUGACGGGGGCCCGCACAAGCGGUGGAGCAUGUGGUUUAAUUCGAUGCAACGCGAAGAACCUUACCCAGGUUUGACAUGUGCCGGACAGGUGUGGAAACACACCCUCCCUUCGGGGCCGGUGCACAGGUGCUGCAUGGCUGUCGU
This 263-nucleotide ribosomal RNA is filed under the name uncultured bacterium. RNAcentral's name for it is "partial 16S ribosomal RNA". It matches the Rfam family "Bacterial small subunit ribosomal RNA", at positions 793 to 1055 of the family's 1533-position model. The record is from RNAcentral.